CCUGGCGGCGAUAGCGCGGUGGUCCCACCUGACCCCAUGCCGAACUCAGAAGUGAAACGCCGUAGCGCCGAUGGUAGUGUGGGGUCUCCCCAUGCGAGA
This 99-nucleotide ribosomal RNA is filed under the name Plesiomonas shigelloides. The record is from RNAcentral. Lineage: Bacteria; Pseudomonadati; Pseudomonadota; Gammaproteobacteria; Enterobacterales; Enterobacteriaceae.